Molecule: ribosomal RNA, 192 nt
Filed under: Escherichia coli
Lineage: Bacteria; Pseudomonadati; Pseudomonadota; Gammaproteobacteria; Enterobacterales; Enterobacteriaceae
Description: partial 16S ribosomal RNA
Rfam family: Bacterial small subunit ribosomal RNA
Source: RNAcentral
AAAUUGAAGAGUUUGAUCAUGGCUCAGAUUGAACGCUGGCGGCAGGCCUAACACAUGCAAGUCGAACGGUAACAGGAAGAAGCUUGCUUCUUUGCUGACGAGUGGCGGACGGGUGAGUAAUGUCUGGGAAACUGCCUGAUGGAGGGGGAUAACUACUGGAAACGGUAGCUAAUACCGCAUAACGUCGCAAGA